AAAACACAGAAGCUUCAGAGAAAAUGAACCAAGUCUAUCGGAGAAAACCCUGAAGCUCCUAGGGUAUCUUGUGUGGCCCGGGGAUGACAACCAGUGACAUGAGAACGCGGGGUGUGGAAGAGGAGAGCACUUUGCAACACUAGGACAGAAACCACAGGACGUAUCAGGUACAACUGGUCAAGAUCUGUGCACAUUACAUGGCAGCAGUUUAAGGAGAAGAUGCUGGCUGCUGGAGAGAGAGGUCCUUGGGGAAGAAAGCGUAUCCAGACUUACAGCCCCUUCAUUGGUUUCCAGUGAGCGUGUCUGCCGUACGUUGCAUAGUUUCCAAGGGGUGUAAUGUGGCAUGCCUGCUAGGUUAGUAUAUUGCCCAGCAGGGUGUGGCACGUGUGCCUUUAUUAACAUCACACUCCUCACAUUUGGGAAGGUGAUCAUUUCUGUGAUGGCUGUGG
RNAcentral lists this long non-coding RNA (449 nucleotides) under Gallus gallus (chicken). Lineage: Eukaryota; Metazoa; Chordata; Aves; Galliformes; Phasianidae. The record is from RNAcentral.